GGAUGAACGCUAGCGGCAGGCCUAACACAUGCAAGUCGAGGGGUAUAAGAAGCUUGCUUUUUAGAGACCGGCGGAUGGGUGAGUAACGCGUAUGCAACCUACCUUUUACAGGGGAAUAGCCCGGAGAAAUUCGGAUUAAUGCUCCAUGGUUUAUAGAGAUGGCAUCAUUUUUAUAAUAAAGAUUUAUCGGUAAAAGAUGGGCAUGCGUAUCAUUAGCUAGUUGGUGUGGUAACGGCAUACCAAGGCUACGAUGAUUAGGGGUCCUGAGAGGGAGAUCCCCCACACUGGUACUGAGACACGGACCAGACUCCUACGGGAGGCAGCAGUGAGGAAUAUUGGUCAAUGGAGGCAACUCUGAACCAGCCAUGCCGCGUGCAGGAAGACGGUCCUAUGGAUUGUAAACUGCUUUUGUACGGGAAGAAAUGUAAUUACGUGUAAUUAUUUGACGGUACCGUAAGAAUAAGGAUCGGCUAACUCC
This 478-nucleotide ribosomal RNA is filed under the name Myroides sp. 'ARUP UnID 423'. RNAcentral describes it as "bacterial SSU rRNA". It matches the Rfam family "Bacterial small subunit ribosomal RNA", at positions 27 to 504 of the family's 1533-position model. The record is from RNAcentral. Lineage: Bacteria; Pseudomonadati; Bacteroidota; Flavobacteriia; Flavobacteriales; Flavobacteriaceae.